RNAcentral lists this ribosomal RNA (399 nucleotides) under uncultured bacterium. Its description in RNAcentral is "bacterial SSU rRNA". It matches the Rfam family "Bacterial small subunit ribosomal RNA", at positions 30 to 429 of the family's 1533-position model. The record is from RNAcentral.
AUUGAACGCUGGCGGCAUGCCUUACACAUGCAAGUCGAACGGCAGCACGGGAGCUUGCUCCUGGUGGCGAGUGGCGAACGGGUGAGUAAUACAUCGGAACGUACCCAGGAGUGGGGGAUAACGUAGCGAAAGUUACGCUAAUACCGCAUAUUCUGUGAGCAGGAAAGCGGGGGAUCGCAAGACCUCGCGCUCUUGGAGCGGCCGAUGUCGGAUUAGCUAGUUGGUGGGGUAAGAGCUCACCAAGGCGACGAUCCGUAGCGGGUCUGAGAGGAUGAUCCGCCACACUGGGACUGAGACACGGCCCAGACUCCUACGGGAGGCAGCAGUGGGGAAUUUUGGACAAUGGGCGCAAGCCUGAUCCAGCCAUGCCGCGUGAGUGAAGAAGGCCUCGGUUGUAAG